Non-coding RNA from Hordeum vulgare subsp. vulgare (domesticated barley), 112 nucleotides. Lineage: Eukaryota; Viridiplantae; Streptophyta; Magnoliopsida; Poales; Poaceae. The record is from Rfam.
AAAGUACUCCCUUGUCCCAAAAUUCUUGUCUUAGAUUUGUCUAAAUACGGAUGUAUCUAGUCACGUUUUAGUGUUAGAUACAUCCGUAUCUAGACAAAUAUAAGACAAGAAU